This is a non-coding RNA of Coffea arabica (coffee), 539 nucleotides long. NCBI's taxonomy places the organism in Eukaryota, Viridiplantae, Streptophyta, Magnoliopsida, Gentianales, Rubiaceae. The record is from RefSeq and is a predicted model, not a curated record.
GCGAGGCUUCUCCCGCUUCGCUAGUCGCUACUGCUCCUCUCUCCCACAAGUGGAGUUCUAUCCAUGCUUCUUUGCACUCUGCUACAAUUAGCAAAGCACCAGUCAUUAUACCAGUACUAGUAGUACUUUUUGACCUCCUUUUUACUGGCAUUUUCUUCUUCUUCCUCUCUCUCUCUUUUAAUACUAGUUUCAGAAUCUUCUUCUCAUGUCCAAAUGAUGUAAAAGUUAGGCAUUUGAGAUUGGAGAAAUCAUCCGGUCGGAAAACGACGGUAUGGGUGCAGCUUCAUUGUCCGAGACAGUAAAUUUGAGGGCUUCUUUGCUGAAUCAACCCACUCCCGUAGUUUCAUCUGGGGUGCAUUGUGCCGCAUAUCUUAUCUUGUACUUAAUAAGAGAAAUAUUUAUCCUGUGAACAGAAACAGGAAAACAUGUUAUUCAGAUGGUUUGCAGCGUAAGCUAAGGACUACUCCUCUCUCGAGAACGGGUGCUUCAAGAGGGACUUCUGCUGAUGUUCUAGAUGAUAGCGAUGGCGAUGCAUCGGG